ACGCUGGCGGCGUGCCUAAUACAUGCAAGUAGAACGCUGAAGCUUGGUGCUUGCACCGAGCGGAUGAGUUGCGAACGGGUGAGUAACGCGUAGGUAACCUGCCUGGUAGCGGGGGAUAACUAUUGGAAACGAUAGCUAAUACCGCAUAACAGUAGAUGUUGCAUGACAUUUGCUUGAAAGGGGCAAUUGCUCCACUACCAGAUGGACCUGCGUUGUAUUAGCUAGUUGGUGAGGUAACGGCUCACCAAGGCGACGAUACAUAGCCGACCUGAGAGGGUGAUCGGCCACACUGGGACUGAGACACGGCCCAGACUCCUACGGGAGGCAGCAGUAGGGAAUCUUCGGCAAUGGACGGAAGUCUGACCGAGCAACGCUGCGUGAGUGAAGAAGGUUUUCGGAUCGUAAAGCUCUGUUGUAAGAGAAGAACGAGUGUGAGAGUGGAAAGUUCACACUGUGACGGUAACUUACCAGAAAGGGACGGCUAACUACGUGCCAGCAGCCGCGGUAAUACGUAGGUCCCGAGCGUUAUCCGGAUUUAUUGGGCGUAAAGCGAGCGCAGGCGGUUAGAUAAGUCUGAAGUUAAAGGCUGUGGCUUAACCAUAGUACGCUUUGGAAACUGUUUAACUUGAGUGCAGAAGGGGAGAGUGGAAUUCCAUGUGUAGCGGUGAAAUGCGUAGAUAUAUGGAGGAACACCGGUGGCGAAAGCGGCUCUCUGGUCUGUAACUGACGCUGAGGCUCGAAAGCGUGGGGAGCAAACAGGAUUAGAUACCCUGGUAGUCCACGCCGUAAACGAUGAGUGCUAGGUGUUGGGUCCUUUCCGGGACUCAGUGCCGCAGCUAACGCAUUAAGCACUCCGCCUGGGGAGUACGACCGCAAGGUUGAAACUCAAAGGAAUUGACGGGGGCCCGCACA
This 912-nucleotide ribosomal RNA is filed under the name uncultured bacterium. RNAcentral describes it as "bacterial SSU rRNA". It matches the Rfam family "Bacterial small subunit ribosomal RNA", at positions 33 to 927 of the family's 1533-position model. The record is from RNAcentral.